RNAcentral lists this ribosomal RNA (669 nucleotides) under Desulfopila sp. PR5_E10. RNAcentral describes it as "bacterial SSU rRNA". It matches the Rfam family "Bacterial small subunit ribosomal RNA", at positions 104 to 763 of the family's 1533-position model. The record is from RNAcentral. Lineage: Bacteria; Pseudomonadati; Thermodesulfobacteriota; Desulfobulbia; Desulfobulbales; Desulfocapsaceae.
GGGUGAGUAACGCGUAAGUAAUCUACCCUGAUAUCUGGGAUAACAAUUCGAAAGGAUUGCUAAUACCGGAUACGCUGAUUUAUCAGGAAAGGUGGCCUCUUCAUGAAAGCUACUGUAUCGGGAGGAGCUUGCGUACCAUUAGCUAGUUGGUGGGGUAAUGGCCUACCAAGGCGACGAUGGUUAGCGGGUCUGAGAGGAUGAUCCGCCACACUGGAACUGAAACACGGACCAGACUCCUACGGGAGGCAGCAGUGAGGAAUAUUGCGCAAUGGGGGAAACCCUGACGCAGCGACGCCGCGUGGAUGAUGAAGGCUUUCGGGUCGUAAAAUCCUGUCAGAUGGGAAGAAAUGCUAUGAGGCUAAUACCCUUGUAGUUUGACGGUACCAUCAAAGGAAGCACCGGCUAACUCCGUGCCAGCAGCCGCGGUAAUACGGAGGGUGCAAGCGUUGUUCGGAAUUACUGGGCGUAAAGCGCGCGUAGGCGGCCUUUUAAGUCAGAUGUGAAAGUCCACGGCUCAACCGUGGAAGUGCAUUUGAUACUGGGAGGCUUGAGUACUGGAGGGGAUGGUGGAAUUCCCGGUGUAGAGGUGAAAUUCGUAGAUAUCGGGAGGAAUACCGGUGGCGAAGGCGACCAUCUGGCCAGAUACUGACGCUGAGGUGCGAAAGCGUG